CGGGAUGAGGAAGCCGAGGACACCUGAUGGAUGAUGACUCUUCGCUUCGCCGACC
Pyrococcus furiosus DSM 3638 is the source of this 55-nucleotide small nucleolar RNA. It matches the Rfam family "Small nucleolar RNA sR45". The record is from Rfam. Lineage: Archaea; Methanobacteriati; Methanobacteriota; Thermococci; Thermococcales; Thermococcaceae.